Macaca mulatta (Rhesus monkey) is the source of this 5013-nucleotide long non-coding RNA. The record is from Ensembl. NCBI's taxonomy places the organism in Eukaryota, Metazoa, Chordata, Mammalia, Primates, Cercopithecidae.
AUGCAUCAUCUGAUUUGGUUGUUAUGGCAGUCCUGUAAGGUCCGGGUGGCUGUGGGUUGUCUCACCAUUUUCGAUGCAGAGUCUCUGAAACCACGCAUCAAGCAUCAGAGCAAAGAAGAGAAUCUACACUUUCCAGUUCCUGGUUCCGCCCUCUCUGAAGCACUUCAAGAGCGAUCUCCAUGGAGACAAACAUCGAACUCACUCCCUCCAGUUUGUAAAACUGAAUGUGAAUGGCCAUUCCAAAUCGGCUGUCUUAAUCCACUCAGAGCAGCAGGAAGUAUUUAACUGUUCAACAUAUUAAAUGAACAAAAAAAUACAGGUGAGUAAGACUGACUCAUGGCUGGAUAAGAGGCAAAAGUAGAUGGCUUUCCAUUGGCCUGGUUAGAGACCUUGGAUAGGCUAAAGUGUAUCCUGUAGUUCACCACACAUCUCUUCCCAUUCUGGCCAGGCCUUGCCAACCUGGUGUUGGACCGGACUGUAAGGUAUGUGCAUUGUGGAGAGAAGCAAGGAAGCUGGGGGUGGAAUAAGGGCUCAGAACAAAUGCUGGAGCCAGGGAGUUCCAGAAAACAAGGGAGAGGGUUCUCAUUAGAUUAUGAGCAAGUCUAGAGCUAGGGAAGAACAUUUAUUUAUUUUUAUAUUUCUUAAGCCUAGUGCAGUGCCUGGCACAUAGUAAUUGCUCAGCAGAUAUUUGUUGACAGAAUAAUAAAUAAACUGAUGUGGACCUUUACUAACUUCACUACCCCUUUUUUCUAUGCAUCAAGAUUUCAGGUUAAAGUGCCUGAUGGCUGCCACUGGCAUUGCCACUUCUGAUCUUGUUCUCAUUUGCGAACUCCCAGCUUUUUGUCUGGCUUUGGGAGCCUGGUUGGGCCUCCAGCUCUGGCCUUCUAUGUCUGCUGCCAGCUCUGAAGUUCUGAUGGGAUCCGUGUCAGGUAGUGUGUUUCAGAAUACUUAAGCUUUCCAUUUAGUUGUAAUAAAAUCCCAAUUUUUUCCUGAAAAAAUAUUGUUGUUUUUUUUAAAGAAAAUUGUUUGUAAAACAUGAUUUUUUUUUCAUGUGAAAUAUGAAACAUGAUUUUGUAACGAUAUGAGACUCCACAUCUAUGGUGGUGGUUUUACCAAAAUUUUCGCUCCUGGCCAUAAAAGUAAAAAGUUUAGAUGUUUUGGAGGCAGCUUGACAGUAGCUACCAAAAUAAAGUCUAAUUAUUUUGAUCUGGUAAUUCCAGUUCUAGAAAUCUAACUUACAGAACUACAUAAGUGUGCAAGGGCAUAACUGCAAAGAGGCUAAUGCCAUAUUGUUUGCUUGUGAUAGUAACAAAAGAGAAGUCUUUGAAUCUGAGAUUGUAGGUCAGUAUCAAAGUUCACGUGCCCAUUUCUUCCUUGUUUUCUUAUGAUCACUGAUCAUGGAUAAUAUGUGCAGCCAGGAGUAGAUUAAAGAGAUUUAUAAAUUUGAGUUGUGCAAUUUCCAUGCAUUUUAUUCAUGUUAGAAGGCAGAUGACUCCUCUCUCACGGUCAAAGGAAGCCUUGAACAAAAUGGCGAGAAACAUGAAGGUUGUUUGGCGUUUUCCCCUUGCAGUGCCUGUAUUCUCCUGUUGUCUUAAAAUGGCAGAGAUUUUCAAGUAGACCCGGGUAUAAAUGUCAGCUCCAUCAUUUACCAACAGUGUAAACUCGGUCACUCAGUUUAGUCUUUCAAAGCCUUAGUUUUCUCCUAGGUAACACAAUAAUAUUCAUCAAACUGGGCUUUCACGAAGAUUAAAUGAGAUACCAUAUGUGAAAAUACCUAUUGCAUACUGUAGAUGCUCAAUAAUUGUUUUCUUCCUUCUGAUUGUUAUUUUAAGAAUUCUCUCAAAAACACGCUGGGUUUUAGUGUUCUCAGAGCAUUUUAAUCUCCACCAGGUCCCUGUGGUUCAGGGACAACGGCAGUUAGAUCAGCACCUCUCUUCCUGACUUGUGCCGCCCCCACCUUGCCCUUGCCCCGUUCCCCUUUCUUCCUCUCUGUCUUCUCUCCUCAUUUCCUUCUUUUUCUUGCCUUGUUUUCUUCCUUUCCUAUUUCCACUUGGUUUUUUCCUUUUAAAAAUUCCAUACCUUCUUAUUUUCCAGUCCUCCAUUUAUUUCCUAGACUACUGGGGGAGAAACGUGGUUUAAAAAAAGAGAAAGAAACACGAAGUGCACAAGAUAAAUAAAACCAACUCUUUUGCCUUCACACUCAAGCCACACCUCGUUUCUCCAAGCCUCUGUGUCUUUGCACAUGCUAUGCCUUCUUUUCCCCACUUUGGCUAAAUUCUACUUAUGCUUUGGGUCUGAGUCAUUUCCUGGGCCUGGGUUCCAACAUGCUAAGACAUAUGCUCUGCUCACUUUGCCCACAGCACUUCAUGCUUCCCAGACCAAAAUACCAGCAUAACUAAGUUGUAAUUGCUUGUUUAAUAAUCUUUCUUUUCUGCUAGACUAUGAACUUUCAUGCCCAAGGAAUGUGUUCCACCUGUUUAUUUUUGCAUCUCUAGAGCUUGGCUCAGUGCUUGACACUUGAUAGGUGCUUGUUGAAUGGAGAUGUAACUGUAGCUUGUUUUCAUCAUCAAGACAUCUGGGAGAGCCAGCCUAGUUUUUCUCAAGCUGAAUUCUACUCUCUGUCUUCUGCCACGUUCUUGCACUGAAAUUUUGGUCCACAAUCUUCAGAAGGCCAAAUAAAAGCAGGAAGAGGUAUCAAAUGCUAUCUAUGCUUAUUUCAUUGGAAUAAACUUCCAAACCCCCAUAGCUUGGGAGAUAAGUCUCCAAAUUUACUUCUCAACUUUUUCUCCCUCCAUGAACCUUAUGGUAUACUCAUACCAAAUCUUCCAGCUAUCUUUAUCUUCUUGUACUUGUUAUGCUGUUUUAUCAACUUCUGGGGUUGAUUCUUUUCAUUCUUUGCCUAUGGAAAAUCUUUUGAUCCCUCAAGCUCCAGUUCAAAUAAUGGUUCUUACCUCUUGGAGUUAUUGUGAGAAUGAACUGAUACAAAAUGCAUAAGUGCAUAACACAGUUGUUGCCAUAGAGUAAAUGCUCCAUAAAGAUUAGCUGUUAGUGUCUUUUCUCAACCAGAUUUUAAGCACAAAGAGGGUGGGAACCAUGUUUCUAUUAUUCACAUCUAUAACCUAAGCAUCCACUUGAAGGCUGAUCACAUAGUACAUGCUCAAUAAAUGGUUUUUGACCAAGUGAGGGAAUAAAUAGUCCAAAUGACCAUAUAAUAGAUCAGACCAGAUAGUAAAUGUGGUGUGCUACUUCUAGGCUGUGCCAAUUACCAGGAUGUAGUGGACUUAGUCACAUGAAUAACUCCAGGUCUGGGCAAAGACUUCUUGAGCAAUACCCGACAAGCAGAAGCAACCAAAGGAAUCAUGGACAAAUGGGAUCACAUCAAGUUAAGAAGCUUCUGCACAGUAAAGGAUACAAUCAACAAAGUGAAGAGAUGAAUCAUAGAAUAGGAGGUAAUAUUUGCAAACUAACCGUCUGACAAGGGAUUAAUAACCAGAAUAUAUAAGGAGCUCAAACAACUCUAUAGGAAAAAAUCUAAUAAUCUGAUCCAAAAAUGGGCAGAAGAUUUGAAGACACAUUUCUCAAAAUAAGACAUACAAAUAGCAAAGGGACGUAUGAAAAGGUGCUCAACAUCAUUAAUCAUCAGAGAAAUGCAAAUUGUGACUACAAUGCGAUACCAUCUUACUCCCGUUAAAAUAGCUUAUAUCCAAAAGACAGGCAAAAAACAAAUGCUGGCGAGGAUGUGGAGAAAAGGGAACCCUCGUAUGCUGUUGGUGGGAAUGUAAAUUGGUACAACCACUAUGGAGAACAGUUUGGAGGUUUCUCAAAAACCUAAAAAUUGAACUGCCAUAUGAUUCAGCAAGCCCACUGCUAGGUAUAUACCCAAAAGAAAGGAAAUUAGUCUAUCGAAGAUGUAUCUGCACUCCUAUGUUUGUUGCAGCACUGUUGACAACAGCUAAGAUUUGGAAGCAACCUGUGUCCAUCAACAGAUGAACAAAUACAGAAAAUGUGGUGCAUAUACAAAAUGAACUACCAUUUAGCCAUAAAAAAGAAUAAGAUCCAGUCAUUUGCAACAAUAUGGGUGGAACUGGAGAUCAUUUUGUUAAGUGAAAUAAGCCAGGCACAGAAAGACAAAUAUCACAUGUUCUCACUUAUUUGUGGGAUUUAAAAAUCAAAUCAAUUGAACUCAUGGAGAUAGAGAGUAGAAGGAUGGUUACUAGAGGCUGGGAAGGGUAGUGGGGAGUUUGGGGGAUGGGCCGGGAUGGUUAAUGAGCACAAAAAUGAGAAAGAAUAAAUAAGACCUACUUUUUAAUAGCACAAUAAGGUGACUAUAGUCAAUAAUAACUUACUUGUAUAUUUUGAAAUAAAGAAUGUAAUUUGAUUGUUUGUAAACUAAAGGAUAAAUGCUCGAGAGGCUGGAGAUCCCAUUCUCCCUGAUGUGCUUAUUUCACAUUGCAUGCCUGUACCAAAACAUCUCAUGUACCCCAUAAAUGUAUACACCUACUAUGUACCCACAAAAUUUAAAAAAAGUAAAGAAAACUCCGGUUGUUUAGAUACCUAGAUGUGGCCUAAAAGAUUUUUUGAGAAUCAUUAAUAAAUGAUUAGUUACAUAUAUGCUUAGAUGCCAUCAAAGCACAAAAAAUAUGUAGAUUUCUUUGGUUAGCUGAAGGUUCUGUUUGAAUGUGGAAAACGUUAGGGUGAGAAUGAUCAAAGGCGAUUUAAUGUUUAAUCUGGUCUGGUUCACCAGAACCUUAUAAAGAGCCAACUGUGGAAAUCCUGUUUCCUCCCAUUCCCCCACCCUAGUGGUACACACAGUUAGAGCCAAUGUAAAUAGUGAAAAUCAAAUAUUCUGUUUUUGCCUAUUGAAUUUCUUUUGUGGAAGUUUGAAAUGGUUAGCUGAGUAUUUUAACUAAACUGAACAGAAUGCCAGAAAAGUCUUCUUUGAAAUGUGAAAUACUUUUAGCCUCACAAAAGUUCAUAUAAAAUAUAAGAAUACUAUGAAUGUAAGAAUAUGAC